AGCAGCAAGGAGGUGGCACGCGCUGCUUAAGAGUGUAUAUAAACCAGGAAGUGUAAUUUUGUUUUGUCGUUUAGGAUGUGAAAACAUUUUGUUCUACAUAUGCAAACUAGGUAUUCAAUAUGAACGAAAGAGAUGCGAUUCAUGAUGGCACCGUUUAUGCUAACAGUGAUAUUUUGAAGACUGCAAACGUGAGCAAGUUAUUAUUGUCGGGAAAACCCUUGGAGCAACUUCUCUCAGAAGACCAUAGGGAAGUGGCCAAAGCCGAUGAAAACAAUGUCUGGUAUCACAAGAAAAUAUCCCGGGAGUCAGCCGAGAGUAUACUACAAGAAGGGCUGCAGAAGCAGGGUGAUAUGAGUGGUCUGUUCCUGAUCCGAGACAGCACCGUGUCCGGCAAUGACUUCGCUCUGUCGCUGGUGUGCAAGGGGAAGAUAUUCCACUUCCAGGUGCAGCAGACGUGUGAGUGCUUCUACCGCAUUGACGAUGGACCCAUCAUCCAUGGUUUGGACAAAUUGGUCACUCACUACACAGGUAUGGCAAACGGACUUCCCACCAAACUCAGCAGCUUCUGCCGAGGGUCAAUACCACCGAAUACCUGUCGGAAGUUCGGACCCAACAAUCUGUUGCAUCGGGCAGUUCUAGAGGGUAAAAAAGAUGUUGUUAAGAGAAUAUUGGCAUAUAGUACCUGCCCAGAUGUUAAUGCCAAAAAUAAGAUUGGUUCCCUAGCCCUCCAUGAUGCAGCCUUCCAUGGCUACUAUGAAAUUGUGGCUCAACUGCUGGACAGAGGGGCUGAUGUCAAGAUCAAGGACACUAACGGACACACCGCACUACAUAGGGCCUGCGUGGCCAACCAACCACGGGUAGUGGAACUGCUGAUAAAGAAGGGUCGGAGCCUCACUUCAGAACGGUGCUCUCAGACAGGCUGGGUGCCGCUCCAUGAAGCUGCCAUGCGGGGCCACAUCAACUGUAUCAAGGUGCUAUUAGAAAACGAUGCCACUCCAUUUCCCCGGAAUGAUGACAAGCUGACCCCUCUAGAAUUGGCGAAAACAUACGGGAGAAGGGAGUGCAUCAACCACUUCAAAAAUUAUGAAAUUCAUGAUAUGGAGACCAAACCGGCGGAUUGGUUCCAUGCAGAACUAGAUCGACAGGGAGCGAUGCAGAUGUUUGAAUUUCACGGGAUGAGAGAAGGACUGUUUUUGAUUCGACCAAGCAAGAAACAUUUUGGCUGGCAUGUGCUCAGCUUGUGUCACAGUCGAGCGGCCUUCAACUACGAGAUCAGGAACCAGGACUACGAGGGGCGUCUGGUUCACUUCAUCGACGACGGCCCAUACCUGCUGUCCCUGGAACAUGUGGUCUACCACUACACCCGACAGAUGGACGGGCUGCCUUGUAUGCUCACAGCGUCCCUCAACUCAACUCAGAGAGUAAUUGAAGUAAUAGUGCCAAGAGCGCACACGUCAGACAACAGCUAUCCAAGACCAAUAUCUCAGCCAGAUCCUCCAGGGCUUCCUCCGAGACCCACUGACGAUCUGUACUCCGCACCCAACAAGAACAACCCAACUACGCCCGACCCUGUCACGCCGCCGGUGCCUGCUGGGCCAAUCCCCAAUCGGAAGCCGGCAGAUGCAGAACCGCAGCAAACAAAUUUAACAAUGAUCCCACUUUCGAAAAUCAAAAGAGGUUCAGAGCUGGGCCAGGGAGAGUACGGCUCUGUGCUGAAGGGCACUUUGAUAACUCACAAGGGCACGUUCAGGAGUGAGAAGAUAGAUGUGGCGCUGAAGACUUUCCAUGAUGGGUCCGUGGAGAAUGCCAAUAGUUUCCUGGCUGAAGCCCGAGUGAUGCAGUCUCUCCAACAUGCCUGCAUCCUCAGUCUGCUGGGUGUCUGCGAGGGACCACCUCUCAUGCUGGUGGAGGAGUAUGUGCCGAUGGGGUCCAUGCUGGACUUCCUCCUGGACCACGAAGAAAAGAUUGAUGUGAAGACAGACUUGUACCUGUGGGCGGCACAGAUCGCUAACGGCAUGAAGUACCUGGAGACUCAGAGACUCGUUCACCGAGAUCUGGCUGCCAGAAACAUCCUGUUGAAGGAUAUGAAGCAGAUUAAGAUCAGUGACUUUGGCCUAUCACGAGCUGUGGGGACAGAGAGUGAUUAUUACAAGGCUACACAUGGUGGUCGAUGGCCCAUCAAAUGGUAUGCCCCAGAGAGUGUUAACUAUGGCCAGUUUUCUCACGCUAGCGAUGUGUGGAGCUACGGUGUCACUCUGUGGGAGAUGUUUACAUUCGGGGAGCCGCCUUACGGGGAGAUGAAGGGGAUCGAGGUGGUGCAGUACAUCGAGCAUGGGAAGCGGCUGAUUAAGCCAGACAGGUGCCCCCAGACAGCGUACGGCAUCAUGCUCAAGUGUUGGUCCUGGAAGGCAGAACAUCGGCCUCAGUUCAUGGACCUGGCCAAACACUUUGAUGAGGACCCUGAAUAUGCCAGCAUUCAUGAUCUGUUGAGGCAGGCCUCGAGGAGAGAGUAGUGGUGGAGAAGUUGGGGUUGUUGGGGUUUAAGUGGGGUUCACAUUCAGAUUGAAAGGUUGAUAUUGAGCUUGUUGGGGUGAGAUACGCUGUGAGCAGUCAGCUAGAGCGGUUUUGGUAGGGAUGGGGGUGAGUUGGAUGGAAUUAUUUAAAGCUGUUGGGUAAGGUUAACUGGGGUUGGGCAAGUUAUGGGUGAGGUAGAGCAGUUGGGUGAGGUGAGUCAUGGGGGUGAAAUAGAACUGGGUUUGAGUGCAGCUGUUGGGUGAGGUUAACUGGGGUUUGGCAGGGAUAGAGGGGUUGAAGUAAAGUUAUGGGUGAGGUGGAUCUGUCGGGUGAGGUGAGUCAUGGGGGUGAAAUAGAACUGGGUUUGAUUGUAGCUAUUGGGUGAGGUUAACUGGGGUUGGGUAGGGAUAGAGGGGUUGAAGUUAAGUUAUGGGUGAGAUAGAGCAGUUGGG
Molecule: unclassified non-coding RNA, 2966 nt
Filed under: Haliotis rufescens (red abalone)
Lineage: Eukaryota; Metazoa; Mollusca; Gastropoda; Lepetellida; Haliotidae
Description: tyrosine-protein kinase HTK16-like, transcript variant X2
Source: RNAcentral